Molecule: ribosomal RNA, 1396 nt
Filed under: Escherichia coli
Lineage: Bacteria; Pseudomonadati; Pseudomonadota; Gammaproteobacteria; Enterobacterales; Enterobacteriaceae
Description: partial 23S ribosomal RNA
Rfam family: Bacterial large subunit ribosomal RNA
Source: RNAcentral
GUGACUGCGUACCUUUUGUAUAAUGGGUCAGCGACUUAUAUUCUGUAGCAAGGUUAACCGAAUAGGGGAGCCGAAGGGAAACCGAGUCUUAACUGGGCGUUAAGUUGCAGGGUAUAGACCCGAAACCCGGUGAUCUAGCCAUGGGCAGGUUGAAGGUUGGGUAACACUAACUGGAGGACCGAACCGACUAAUGUUGAAAAAUUAGCGGAUGACUUGUGGCUGGGGGUGAAAGGCCAAUCAAACCGGGAGAUAGCUGGUUCUCCCCGAAAGCUAUUUAGGUAGCGCCUCGUGAAUUCAUCUCCGGGGGUAGAGCACUGUUUCGGCAAGGGGGUCAUCCCGACUUACCAACCCGAUGCAAACUGCGAAUACCGGAGAAUGUUAUCACGGGAGACACACGGCGGGUGCUAACGUCCGUCGUGAAGAGGGAAACAACCCAGACCGCCAGCUAAGGUCCCAAAGUCAUGGUUAAGUGGGAAACGAUGUGGGAAGGCCCAGACAGCCAGGAUGUUGGCUUAGAAGCAGCCAUCAUUUAAAGAAAGCGUAAUAGCUCACUGGUCGAGUCGGCCUGCGCGGAAGAUGUAACGGGGCUAAACCAUGCACCGAAGCUGCGGCAGCGACACUAUGUGUUGUUGGGUAGGGGAGCGUUCUGUAAGCCUGUGAAGGUGUACUGUGAGGUAUGCUGGAGGUAUCAGAAGUGCGAAUGCUGACAUAAGUAACGAUAAAGCGGGUGAAAAGCCCGCUCGCCGGAAGACCAAGGGUUCCUGUCCAACGUUAAUCGGGGCAGGGUGAGUCGACCCCUAAGGCGAGGCCGAAAGGCGUAGUCGAUGGGAAACAGGUUAAUAUUCCUGUACUUGGUGUUACUGCGAAGGGGGGACGGAGAAGGCUAUGUUGGCCGGGCGACGGUUGUCCCGGUUUAAGCGUGUAGGCUGGUUUUCCAGGCAAAUCCGGAAAAUCAAGGCUGAGGCGUGAUGACGAGGCACUACGGUGCUGAAGCAACAAAUGCCCUGCUUCCAGGAAAAGCCUCUAAGCAUCAGGUAACAUCAAAUCGUACCCCAAACCGACACAGGUGGUCAGGUAGAGAAUACCAAGGCGCUUGAGAGAACUCGGGUGAAGGAACUAGGCAAAAUGGUGCCGUAACUUCGGGAGAAGGCACGCUGAUAUGUAGGUGAAGCGACUUGCUCGUGGAGCUGAAAUCAGUCGAAGAUACCAGCUGGCUGCAACUGUUUAUUAAAAACACAGCACUGUGCAAACACGAAAGUGGACGUAUACGGUGUGACGCCUGCCCGGUGCCGGAAGGUUAAUUGAUGGGGUUAGCGCAAGCGAAGCUCUUGAUCGAAGCCCCGGUAAACGGCGGCCGUAACUAUAACGGUCCUAAGGUAGCGAAAUUCCUUGUCGG